Molecule: long non-coding RNA, 373 nt
Organism: Anguilla anguilla (European eel)
Lineage: Eukaryota; Metazoa; Chordata; Actinopteri; Anguilliformes; Anguillidae
Exons: 4
Source: RefSeq, a predicted model, not a curated record
GUGCCGUAUUUUUUUUCUUUACGACAGUGCUGGCAUGCAUCUCGGCGUCCACUGGUGGUGUCCAGCUCCACAUCCCAGCACUGUAGGUGGCAGAAUGCACCUCUAACUUGCUGUGUCUGUGUCCCAUCUAUAAAACCACUGAAGAAGAAUGAGACCCAGUUUGUGGUAUUGCAGACGUGCUGCUUCGGCGCAGAUCCCAUCCUUCAGUGGUCUGACAGCUGCUGUUUUCUGCAUCCGCCAGGGACCGAAGAGAGGGACGGCCGAAGAGAACCAGGGGACCAGGAGCAGCGGGGAGGACACCUCUGUCGAUAGCUUUGCGCUACAUCAACGCGGUGUGCCAGAAAGCUGGGAACCGACCGACUGUUGUAACAAA